Molecule: ribosomal RNA, 495 nt
Filed under: uncultured bacterium
Lineage: Bacteria
Description: partial 16S ribosomal RNA
Rfam family: Bacterial small subunit ribosomal RNA
Source: RNAcentral
GACGAACGCUGGCGGCGUGCCUAAUACAUGCAAGUAGAACGCUGAAGGAGGAGCUUGCUUCUCUGGCUGAGUUGCGAACGGGUGCGUAACGCGUAGGUAACCUGCCUGGUAGCGGGGGAUAACUAUUGGAAACGAUAGCUAAUCCCGCAUAAUAGUAGAUGUUGCAUGACAUUUGCUUAAAAGGUGCAAUUGCCUCGCUACAAGAUGGCCCUGCGUUGUAUUAGCUAGUUGGUGGGGUAACGGCUCACCAAGGCGACGAUACAUAGCCGACCUGAGAGGGGGAUCGGCCACAAUGGGACUUAGACACGGCCCAGACUCCUACGGGAGGCAGCAGUAGGGGAUCAUCGGCAAUGGACGGAAGGCUGACCGAGCAACGCCGCGUGAGGGAAGGAGGUUUUCGGAUCGGAAAGCUCUUUUGUAAGAGAAGAACGAGUGUGAGAGUGAAAAGUUCACACUGUGACGGUAUCUUACCAGAAAGCGACGGCUAACUACGUG